This is a long non-coding RNA of Ctenopharyngodon idella (grass carp), 4267 nucleotides long. RefSeq lists it as uncharacterized. Lineage: Eukaryota; Metazoa; Chordata; Actinopteri; Cypriniformes; Xenocyprididae. The record is from RefSeq and is a predicted model, not a curated record. The transcript has 4 exons.
AACUGUGUGCUGCCACCUUGCCUGUGUUAUUUCUACAACAGAAAUUGUUCACUAAUUCUGUUCUUAACUCCGUCAGAAUAUUUCUCUGUCAUUACUCUUUGACAUGAAAGGAAACGUAUUUUAGAAAGAUCGCUGUGUUUAAUGUAGACUAUAAGAUGUGUUCUUCUAUGUCAGACAGCUGAAUGUUGCUUCACAUUUUUUGUGCACCUGACAGCUGUUUUUGAAGAAUGCUAGUUGCUUGUUUUGCAGUGAUGUCUAAUUUGUCCACUGACAGGCUAGUUGGGAGGCACUGGAGGAGACUGUGAGUGGUUGAUGUCAGGAUAGAUCCUGUUUUCAUAACUCACAGACUCAAAGAAUGAACUGAGGAUGUGUCGAAGGGUUCUGAUAAGUGCUUUAUCUCUGUUUUAAAUGCCUUUUUUACUGCAGGGCUGAGAACAGAAGGAGAGAGAAAGAGAGAGAUAUGGAUAAAAAAUAUGCAGAGCAAAAUGAAUGGACAGAGACGCACAGCGAAUGAGGGAGGAGAGGAAGAGGAGCAGAGGAAGGCGAUGGGGGAAUUUAAGUGCAGAGACAGAAGCGAUAAAGAAGAGAUGGCAUACCAAAUCAACUCACCCUGGGAGAGAGAAGCCACAGCGAGAGAGGGAGGAAGAGAGAAAAGGAGGGAGGGGGAGCCAGAGAGCGUGGUUGCCACGGGGCUGAGUGACAGAAAUUAAUAAUUAGUGACAAUGAUUGACAGCGCACUCUCCAUCUGCGGCCCGCCGCUGCCUCCGAGCGCUUGCCUCCGCCGGCGACCGCGGGCACAAUGAGCUCCAGCGGGAUUCUGAGAGACGCUGAUGAUUGACAACUGCCUCCUGGAGAGAUGGGGACAGCCAGUGUGUAGGGGUGACGUGGAGAGGGGAACGAGAAGGAGGAGGAGGGCUCCUUCACCUCUGUGUUCUCAGGGAGAGUGACCUAACCUGAAAAUAAUUACAACUACUGAACUGUCACUGCACCCUCCACCUCAUCUCCAGCCCUUAUCGCCAAAAACACGCACCCCACAGUCCACUCUCUUUCUCUCUUUAUCCCCCCCACCCCUCCUCAGCGGGGCCCCAAAACUGUCGUAAUUGCCUUUUAAAAUAGUUUAGCAUCUCCCUCAGAGAGCAGAAAAGUUUCCCCAGUAUGGCACUGGAGGAAGAGGGAGUUGUUUUGCAGCGCUGCCGUGGAAACAGAGACGAGAGGAAUUGAAAUGAUCUUGACUUCUGACCAUCUUCGUCUCCUGGGGGGGGGGACCGGCAUAGGAUAGAAGAGCGCACUAUGACUUCUCUUCACUGUUUAAAGACUUGUAUGGAAAAUAUAAUUUGGUUGUGGCAGGCUGAGAAAGAUGCAUUGGCUUUUGGUUUGCCACUCAUGAAAGUCUUUUUAUUUGAAUAUAUUUUUGAAUGCAAUUUUGUUUCAAACUUGAAUGAUUUUGCUUGUUUUUCAUGACUGAGGUUAGUUUUUUCACUGGUGUCCAACAAUAGUUUUGGAAUCAGUCCAUCUUUAUGCAGACAAAAUGACCACCUUUGAAAGAAGUUGUAGUGGCAUCUGAAUUUUUACAUCCUCUACUAGUAGAAACUCUUGUAAAAAAAUAUCACCCAUGCUGCUGCUUUUUUUAUGAUUUUUUUUUUUUUUUUAUUGAAUGCUGUUAUUCCACAGUCAGUCUAAAGUUCAUUUUACAGUCAUUAUUGUUCAGAGACAAAAAGGUUCAAACAUUGGUACACUGUAUAACAUUUUAAACACCUAAGUAUAACACAGAUUCUUUAUGCUUGGGACAAGACAGGCUACAUAAAAGGGAAAAAAAAUAUUACGAAACAAUAAUUAUUCAUUUAUUUCUAUUUUUUUUUUUUCUCUAUUAUUAUUAUUAUUGGUAACAAUUUAUUUUGAUGGUCCACUUUAGACAUUGUACUAACUAUAAGUAACUUUCCAACUACAUCAACUAACUCUCAUUAGAGUAUUAUUAGAGUAUUAGUAGACUGUCUGCAUUAAUUAUUUACACAUAAAUAUUAACACAUUAUUUUGAUGGUCCCUCAACAGACAUUCUAUUGACUACUACAUGUAAACAUGUUCUACUAACCUGAACCCUAACACCUAACCUAACGAGUCUACUGAUACUCUAAUGACAGUUAGUUGAUAUGUAGUUGCAAAGUUACUUAUAGUUAGUAGAAUGUCUAAAGUGGACCAUUGAAAUAAAGUGUAACCUUGUUAGUAUUAUAAUUCGUAGUAUUAAUGAUAGUGUGUGAGUGUCUCAAGAUUUACUGACAUCUGAUUAAUUGUAAUGAUUUCAUAGUAUAUAUUUUUAAGGAUAAUUUGGUAAAAUAUUACUCCCAAGGCAUAGGAAAUCUCAGCCCAGGCUCAUUUGAAAAACGUACCUGUGUCAACAUUUUUGCAAAACGCAAAAUACGUUGCGUCGUGUAAGUUUCGCGACAGUUUCAAAGUGAAAUGUAAAAUGUAAAAAAUCAGUUUGAAUGUCCGCUGUGAUCUUGCCUUUUAACAGUUAAUGGGUUUCCCCGUGCCCUGCUGACACUGACAGUGCUAGUCAAAGUUUUUGUCAUUUGCGUCUUGUUCCGUGUUCACAGCAAGUUUCAAUAUAAAAGUCUUUGCGACUGAGUGACUCACUCACAAAGACAAUCUUUGCCACCAUCUAAUGGCGUAAUAAAUGUAACCUCUCUUGCUGUUCACGGUCAGGGACUAUUUUUUCCAGCGGAAGGAAGACUUAGUGAUUUUACUUCAUGAAAGUUGCAUUGAUACUUAUUUUUUGGCUUUAAUAUUUGUAUUGUGUGGUAACCGUUUUAUAAAAGCAAUAAGCCAGUGAAGCCAUGGUUUACCAUGAAUUUAUAACAGCUAAAUUAUAGCUGUUAUAAACUCCGCUCCACGUCGUGCCUAACAACGCCUUUUAGCUGUUAUAAAUUCACUGUAAACCACAGCUUCUUGGGGCUUAUUGCUUUAGCCCAUCACGUUUAAUAACGUACACCUACACUAAACCCUAAACCUACCUGAUAGUGUUAAUAAAAGCAAAUGUGACAUAAAAACACAAUCGUAACCAUGGCAAUUGUUUUUGAACUCUUGUCUUUGAGCUCUUUUACUGUGACUCGUCUUUCACGGUAUUCGUACUGGAGCUCUUCGCAUUGCAAGUACAAUUCUGUACCAGCUGAACUAUCGAGCAAGCUUGUUAUGUCAGUAAAACUGAACAUCUGGAGCUGGGUGAGUGAUGCAAACUCCAAAAUAUAAUUUGUUUACAAAUCAUGCACUAUGGUAAAAAGUGUUUUGAGGUCAUAACAUUAUUGUGCAAGGUGCCUCGUGAAAACAAGUCUUUAUUAAUCCAUAAUCUGGACCUGUAAUCAUAAAUGUGUGUAAACAAUUAAAAGUGCUUGCUGUUUUACUGCCUCUAGUGUUCAUUUCUGUUAGAAACUGCAGUCAUAUGUACGUAUUGGUACGUAUUUUGCGUUUUGCAAAAAUAUUGAAACCCAGGUAUGUUUUUCCAAUAAGCCUCUAUGGGAUGGAGAGGACCAGUGAGCCAGAAUAAAGCAAAAUACAGACUUAUAAAAGCUCCCUAAAGAGUGUUUUAUUUAUUUAAUUGUUUUGCACGGUAGUGUCAUGUAGCCCCAGGCAUCAAGCAUCUUCCACUCCUGGGAAAUAAAGGAGAGAGUGUGGUUAGAGAAACCCAAUUGGGAUAUUGAUAAGAGGUUUAGAAUCUGCUCAGAGGACAGAGCCAUAUGAAUAUUUGCAUAUACACUCCUCUUUCCUUCUAUUAUGAACCACACCUCAGAAGCUUUUUGUAUAGAAUUCUUAUUUACCAUGAUGCAAAUUUGUUUCUGUGACUUCUACUCAAAAUUGCCAUGUUAAAUUAUGGGACAGCCUCCAAAACCAAGCCAACUGGAAUUUAAAUGCAAUUAAAGUUGCUGAUUAUUGUAUUGUUUAAUCAUGUAAUGAAAUAGCAAAUUUAUUUAUUUUUUCUUCGUUUUUUCUUCUGUUUCCACCUCAGAGUAAAACCCAAAACAAGUUAUUGUAAGAUAAAGUUUAAUGUAAGAAAUUAAGUCAGACCGUAAGAUAUGAAGUCACAUUUAUAAGAAAUUAAGAUGCAUUUGUGAGUUACAAUUGCCUUUCAAUUAUUUUUGUUCUGAGAUGGAAACAAGCUUCCAUAGGCACUUUAAAAAAUUAUAAUAAUAAUAAUAAAAAAAUGCAUGAUGCCCCUCAAUUAAAGAGACAUUCUUCUUUUACUAACCCAUUAAAAUGUCUGAUUCAUUUAAAGACA